This 776-nucleotide ribosomal RNA is filed under the name uncultured bacterium. RNAcentral describes it as "bacterial SSU rRNA". It matches the Rfam family "Bacterial small subunit ribosomal RNA", at positions 726 to 1497 of the family's 1533-position model. The record is from RNAcentral.
UCCCUGGCCAAAGACUGACGCUCAUGUGCGAAAGUGUGGGUAGCGAACAGGUUUAGAUACCCUGGUAGUCCACGCCGUAAACGAUGUCUACUAGCUGUUCGUGGUCUUGUACUGUGAGUAGCGCAGCUAACGCACUAAGUAGACCGCCUGGGGAGUACGGUCGCAAGAUUAAAACUCAAAUGAAUUGACGGGGGCCCGCACAAGCGGUGGAGCAUGUGGUUUAAUUCGACGCAACGCGAAGAACCUUACCUACUCUUGACAUCUAGCGAAGAUUGCAGAGAUGCAGUUGUGCCUUCGGGAACGCUAAGACAGGUGCUGCAUGGCUGUCGUCAGCUCGUGUUGUGAAAUGUUGGGUUAAGUCCCGCAACGAGCGCAACCCUUAUCCUUAGUUGCCAGCACGUAAUGGUGGGAACUCUAGGGAGACUGCCGGUGAUAAACCGGAGGAAGGUGGGGACGACGUCAAGUCAUCAUGGCCCUUACGAGUAGGGCUACACACGUGCUACAAUGGUACGUACAGAGGGAGGCAAGCUGGCGACAGUGAGCGGAUCUCUUAAAGCGUAUCGUAGUCCGGAUCGCAGUCUGCAACUCGACUGCGUGAAGUCGGAAAUCGCUAGUAAUCGCAAAUCAGAAUGUUGCGGUGAAUACGUUCCCGGGCCUUGUACACACCGCCCGUCACACCAUGGGAGUGGGUUGCAAAAGAAGUAGGUAGCUUUAACCCUUCGGGGAGGGCGCUUACCACUUUGUGAUUCAUGACUGGGGUGAAGUCGUAACAAGGU